CCUACGGGUGGCAGCAGCAAGGAAUUUUCCGCAAUGGGCGCAAGCCUGACGGAGCAACGCCGCGUGGGGGAUGACGCUUUUCGGAGUGUAAACCCCUUUUCUCAGGGAUGCAGUACCUGAGGAAGAAGGCCCGGCUAACUACGUGCCAGCAGCCGCGGUAAUACGUAGGGGUCGAGCGUUGUCCGGAGUUACUGGGCGUAAAGCGCGCGCAGGCGGCGCGAUAAGACCGGCGUGAAAGCCCCCGGCUCAACCGGGGAGGGUCGUUGGUGACUGUCGCGCUUGAAGGCAGCAGGGGUAGUGGAAUUCCCGGUGUAGUGGUGAAAUGCGUAGAGAUCGGGAGGAACACCCGUGGCGAAGGCGGCUCACUGGCUACCUUGACGCUGAGGCGCGAAGGCGUGGGGAGCGAACGGGAUUAGAUACCCUUGUAGUC
RNAcentral lists this ribosomal RNA (430 nucleotides) under uncultured bacterium. RNAcentral describes it as "partial 16S ribosomal RNA". It matches the Rfam family "Bacterial small subunit ribosomal RNA", at positions 338 to 795 of the family's 1533-position model. The record is from RNAcentral.